This 135-nucleotide ribosomal RNA is filed under the name uncultured bacterium. Its description in RNAcentral is "partial 16S ribosomal RNA". It matches the Rfam family "Bacterial small subunit ribosomal RNA", at positions 355 to 482 of the family's 1533-position model. The record is from RNAcentral.
UAGGGAAUUUUCGUCAAUGGGGGCAACCCUGAACGAGCAAUGCCGCGUGAGCGAAGAAGGUCUUCGGAUUGUAAAGCUCUGUUGCCGGGGAAAAAGGAAGGAAAGAGGAAAUGCUUUUCUUUGGAUGGUACCCGG